This 1047-nucleotide ribosomal RNA is filed under the name Triticum aestivum (bread wheat). RNAcentral describes it as "partial small subunit ribosomal RNA". Lineage: Eukaryota; Viridiplantae; Streptophyta; Magnoliopsida; Poales; Poaceae. The record is from RNAcentral.
AUGGACGCGCAGCGUGCUCUGCUGGACGCGCUGAUGGGGUCGUCGCGGGACCUGACGGAGGAGGAGAAGAAGGAGCACCGGGAGGUGGCGUGGGACGACCCCGACGUGUGCGCCCCCUACAUGGCCCGCUUCUGCCCCCACGACCUCUUCAUCAACACCAAGAGCAACCUCGGAGUAUGCCCAAAGAUCCACGACCCGGCCCUAAAGCAAAGCUUCGAGUCCUCCCCCCGCUACGCCGCCGUCCUCCCCAAAUUCGAGGCUGACCUCGCCCACCGCUGCGAGAGGCUGGUCCAGGACCUGGAUAAGAAGAUCAGGCGCGGCCGCGACAGGCUUGCGCAGGACGUCGUGGAGGUGCCGCCCCCCGCCGCCCAUGCCGAGAAGGUCGAGCAGCUCGCCAUUCUCGAAGACAAGAUCAAGAAGCUGCUCGAGCAGAUUGAGCAGCUCGGCGACACCGGCAAGAUCGACGAGGCCACUGCGCUCAUGAGGAAGGUGGACAUUCUCAACCUCGAGAAGUCGGCUCUGACCCACCAGAUAGAGACCAAGCUCUCCAUGGUCCCGCAAGAGAAGAAGAUGGAGCUCUGCGAGCAGUGCGGCUCCUUUCUCGUCACCAACGACGUCCUUGAGAGGACGCAGUCCCAUGUCACCGGCAAACAACACAUUGGUUAUGGUCUGGUCAGGGAAUUCCUCGCCGAAUACAAGUUGCUUUUUCAGGCUGCGAAAGAAGCGGAGAAGCUUGCAAGGGAGAAGGAAGCAGAGGAGCGUCAGAACCGGGAGAGAGGAUACCAUAACAGAGGCCACCGCGACGACUAUAGGGAGAGAUCCAGGGAGCAUGACCGUGACCGCUACUAUGAGCGAGGAAGCCGUGACAGAGAGAGGCCCUAUGAGCAGGGAGGUAGAGGGUCAGACUAUAGAGGCGGUUCCUAUAACAGCCGCAGGGAUUCUGAAAGGGCGAGGCCCAGAGAUAGGAACGGUGGUGAUUUUUCAAGAAGAGGAGACCCGGGGAGGGUGAGGAGCAGGUCCCGGUCUCCAGGCAGGCAUGGUUAUUAA